GGGUAGGUGGCAGAGCGGUCAAUUGCACCAGACUGUAAAUCUGGCCUCUAACGAGUUCGGGGGUUCGAAUCCCUCCCUACCCA
RNAcentral lists this transfer RNA (83 nucleotides) under Gemmataceae bacterium. RNAcentral's name for it is "tRNA-Tyr". It matches the Rfam family "tRNA". From Rfam's summary of the family: Transfer RNA (tRNA) molecules are approximately 80 nucleotides in length. Their secondary structure includes four short double-helical elements and three loops (D, anti-codon, and T loops). The record is from RNAcentral. Lineage: Bacteria; Pseudomonadati; Planctomycetota; Planctomycetia; Gemmatales; Gemmataceae. RNAcentral also lists the same sequence under 1 other name.